This 392-nucleotide ribosomal RNA is filed under the name Theileria equi. RNAcentral's name for it is "SSU rRNA". It matches the Rfam family "Eukaryotic small subunit ribosomal RNA", at positions 457 to 885 of the family's 1831-position model. Lineage: Eukaryota; Apicomplexa; Aconoidasida; Piroplasmida; Theileriidae. The record is from RNAcentral.
CAGGGAGGUAGUGACAAGAAAUAACAAUACGGGGCUUGAAGUCUUGUAAUUGGAAUGAUGGGAAUUUAAACCCCUUCCAGAGUAUCAAUUGGAGGGCAAGUCUGGUGCCAGCAGCCGCGGUAAUUCCAGCUCCAAUAGCGUAUAUUAAACUUGUUGCAGUUAAAAAGCUCGUAGUUGAAUUUCUGCUGCAUCGUGGUUCUUCGCUAUGUCGAGUGAUCUUCGUUGUGGCUUAGUUGGGGCAUGUUUUCAUGACUCGACGUUUACUUUGAGAAAAUUAGAGUGCUUCAAGCAGGCUUUUGCCUUGAAUACUUUAGCAUGGAAUAAUGGAGUAGGACUUUGGUUCUAUUUUGUUGGUUUUAGGAGCCGGAGUAAUGGUUAAUAGGAACAGUUGG